Non-coding RNA from Virgibacillus chiguensis, 128 nucleotides. Lineage: Bacteria; Bacillati; Bacillota; Bacilli; Caryophanales; Bacillaceae. The record is from Rfam.
GUUACCUUUAAUUCAGUCCCGUGAGGCUGCCAAGGUGAAACAGAUAGAAAUCUGUUGAUAAAAGAAAUAAGCUUGUUUUUCUUUUAUAAAGCACCCUGCAUGCACAAACACGGCAGGGUGCUUUUCUU